CGUAGGUGACCUGCGGAAGGAUCAUUAAAGCAAGCUUAUACUUGUUCUCACCUUUUGGUGAAUAAAAAGAAAUUAUACACACACGCUUGUUGUCUUUUGAAUGUCAAUGUUAUUCGUAACAAAGCAUAACUUUCAACAACGGAUCUCUUGGCUCUCGCAUCGAUGAAGAACGUAGCGAAAUGCGAUAAGUAAUGUGAAUUGCAGAAUUCAGUGAAUCAUCGAAUCUUUGAACGCACCUUGCGCCUAGUGGCCUCGGCCCGGGCAUGCCUGUUUGAGCGCACGCACCUCUCUUGCCUCGUAACGCGGUUUCCGGACUGUGUCGGGCAGUGUUGAGCGAUAUUGCCGGUGUCGCCUGGCUCGCUCUGAAUGCAUGAGCAGGAUCUUUGGCUCGAAGCGACGUGAUAAGUAUCUACGUCCAAGUAGAGCUGGAAGAGCCCGCUUUCAAACGGUCCCCUUGCGGGACAAUUUCAGUGAGCACUGCAUCAAAUCAGGUAGGACUACCCGCUGAACUUAAGCAUAUCAAUAAGCGGAGGAAAAGAAACUAACAAGGAUUCCCCUAGUAACUGCGAGUGAAGCGGGAAGAGCUCAAAUUUGAGAUCUGGCUAUUGCCCGAGUUGUAACCUAGAGAAGUGUUUUCGGCCGCUGCCUCGGACAAGUCCCUUGGAACAGGGUGUCAUAGAGGGUGAGAAUCCCGUCUGCCGAGCUCCCAGCGUCUACAGAUACACUCUCGAAGAGUCGAGUUGUUUGGGAUGCAGCUCAAAUGGUGGUAAACUCCAUCUAAAGCUAAAUAUGCGAGAGACGAUAGCGA
RNAcentral lists this small RNA (808 nucleotides) under Dendrodacrys brasiliense. RNAcentral describes it as "partial contains ITS1, 5.8S rRNA, ITS2, 28S rRNA". The stretch from base 478 to 808 matches the Rfam family "Eukaryotic large subunit ribosomal RNA", at positions 1 to 343 of the family's 3401-position model. The record is from RNAcentral. Lineage: Eukaryota; Fungi; Basidiomycota; Dacrymycetes; Dacrymycetales; Dacrymycetaceae.